This 954-nucleotide long non-coding RNA is filed under the name Zonotrichia albicollis (white-throated sparrow). RNAcentral describes it as "lncRNA (ENSZALG00000004328.1)". The record is from RNAcentral. Lineage: Eukaryota; Metazoa; Chordata; Aves; Passeriformes; Passerellidae.
GAGCCUCUCUGUGCCACCCCUGAAUCACCUGGAACGAGGGGAAGCUCCCGAAUACCUGACAAGGAAAAUCCAGGUUUGCCAAGCCCAGGUCCUGGCAGGAAGAGGUGGUGAUGGUUUCCCUGGUGUUUGGAGCCGUGUGCCCUCACCUGGAUCAGCAGGAGCCAUCCCAAGGCAGAGAAGAGACCUUCAUCAUCUCCACCAGAACCUCUCCAGGGCCCAAAUUGUGCUGGAAUUCUCCAUUCGUGGUGAUUUGAGGCCGUUUCGUUCCCGCGCCGAUGUUCCAUCCCAGUUUUCCUUUCCAGGGACACCCCGAGCCCUGGGGACCCCUCAACCCUGGGGGACCCCCCAAUCCCUGAGAGUCCCCCAAUCCUGGCAGUUGUUCCCAGUCCCCAAAGACCCCCCCAUUCUUUGGGGUUCCCCAUCCCCGAGGACCCCCCAGGCCCUGGGGAUCCCCCCCAUUCUUAGAAGUCCCCCCAGUUCCUGGGGAUCCCCCAGGACCCCAAUCCCUGCACACCCCCAUCCUUUGGGACCCCUCCCCAUCUUUGGACCCCUCCCCAUCCUUUUGGCCCCUCGCCAUCCUUAAGGACCCCCCAAAUCUUUGAGCCUCCCCUCUUUGGGACCCCUCCUUAUCCUUUGGGCCCCCAAAGCCUUUGAGCCCCCCAUUAUGUGGGACCCCUCCCCAUCUUUGGAGCCCCCAAAUUCUUUGGGCUCCUCCCCAUCUUUGGGACCCCAAUCCUUGGGACCCUCCCCAUUCUCUGGAACUCCCCCAAACUUUUGGGCCCCCCCCCCAUCCUUUGUCCCCCAAAUCCUUUGGGCCCCUCUCCGUCUUUUGAGGCUCCCCCAAAUCUCUGAGGCCUCCAUCCUUGGGACCCCUCCCCAUCCUUUGGGACCCCUCCCCUUCCUUUGGGCCCCCAAAUCCUUUGGGCUCCUCCCCACCUUUGGGACCCCAACCCU